This 253-nucleotide ribosomal RNA is filed under the name uncultured bacterium. RNAcentral's name for it is "partial 16S ribosomal RNA". It matches the Rfam family "Bacterial small subunit ribosomal RNA", at positions 524 to 776 of the family's 1533-position model. The record is from RNAcentral.
UACGGGGGGGGCAAGCGUUGUUCGGAAUUACUGGGCGUAAAGGGCUUGUAGGCGGCCAACUAAGUCCGACGUGAAAUCCCCAGGCUUAACCUGGGAACUGCGUCGGAUACUGGAUGGCUUGAAUUCGGGAGAGGGAUGCAGAAUUCCAGGUGUAGCGGUGAAAUGCGUAGAUAUCAGGAGGAACACCAGCGGCGAAGGCGGCGCUCUGGGCCGGUACUGACGCUGAGGAGCGAAAGCGUGGGUAGCAAACAGG